GUUCAUUGUAAGCCUGCAACAAAAAAAAUAAAGCUCAAGCCUCGACAUAGAGGGCAACGAAUGUUAUUCGCAAGACAACAUUUGAAUACACCCCAAGAAAAAUGGAAUGCCGUUGUUUGGAUGGAUGAAAAAGUUUUUUCAUCCGCAGAAGAAGGGCGAUAUCGAGUCUGACGAUCAAAGGGACAGAAAUCCGGUUGUGGCGACGCUUGAAACUAAUUGCAGUCUCAGCGAGAUUAAAAAUUGAAAUUUUACAUUUGAAAUAGAUCAGCGGACUUUUCAUAUUUACAAGCGAGUAGUUAAAUCUAGAAGUUUCGAGAAGGUCGAUCGGCCGUGGCAGGCUAUUGUUGUUUCGUAUUGUCGGAUGUAUAUUUUGACGAAGCGUGAUGUGUCAUACGAAAACUUGUUGACGCGAAGAUCGGCCGUUUACCUUUGAAUACGGAGAACUAGCCAAUUAAAAUCUGCCACAGCUGAUGGAGAGUUAGUGGGAGAUCUCGCGCCACAGUGCCCCGUGAGAAAAAUUAGGAGCUUCGCCUCCGAGACGUAACGGAGUACAGACGUCGCGUUCAGGAGAUUUAAUUAUCGAGUUCCGAGUAUUAGGAGCAUUGUCGUGAGUUGCCCGGGUGCUUAGGGCUGCGAGCCUGUUUGGAUUCUUGUGGGAAUGUCGGUGCGAAUAAAGACAGCGAGAAUAUUUUAAUACGACUAACUUUGUUUUAUUGGUGACUUCCAAAUAUCUUUAUCUUAUAUCUUAUCCUCCUCCGACUUACAUUUGGUCUAACAACGGCUUGACGGACCAUUAACCUUUCUUUUUUUUUAUUUUAUACGGGUGAUCCGUGAAUCGCACGCGUACGACCACACGGUUAAAUCCGAAGUAUGUUCUUCCAUCAAGAACUAGCAGCAGAAUCACAUUAGGCUUCUGGGGAUGCAUGACGUCUCAUGGAUUAGUAGAACUCACAGAGAUAUCCCCAAGGAUGGAUAUGUGGAUAUGCGGAAGAAUAUGUGGAAAUUUUAGAAGAAAUAUUAAAACCGGCAAUUAGACGAAUUUUCCCUGAAGAUCAAUAUCCAAUUGUUAAGAUAGCACAAGACAAUAGUGCCAUUCAUACUUCCAGAUUGGUGCAAGCAUGGUUCACUGAAAAUCCAGACAUUUAACAAAUUAGAUGGCCAGCAAAGUCUCCAGACUUAAACCCAAUAGAAAAUGUUUGGGCUCAAAUGAAGUUAUCAUGGAGAGCUGGUCAACUCAGGACAAGAGAUGCUUUAAGAAACCACAUGCAUCAAGUUUGGCAACAAUUAUCGCAGAAAGAAGGAUAUACACAGAAUUUAAUUUAUUCUAUGCAAAGAAGAUUACAGCUGGUAAUAGAAAAAGAAUAUUGGAUACUGUAUUAAAUAUGUCACACAUUAGUUUGAAUUUGGUGAAAAAACGCUUUGAAACAUCGUUGCCAAA
Molecule: long non-coding RNA, 1438 nt
Organism: Camponotus floridanus (Florida carpenter ant)
Lineage: Eukaryota; Metazoa; Arthropoda; Insecta; Hymenoptera; Formicidae
Exons: 2
Source: RefSeq, a predicted model, not a curated record